Long non-coding RNA from Biomphalaria glabrata, 2273 nucleotides. RefSeq lists it as uncharacterized. The record is from RefSeq and is a predicted model, not a curated record. NCBI's taxonomy places the organism in Eukaryota, Metazoa, Mollusca, Gastropoda, Planorbidae. The transcript has 2 exons.
UAGAUUUUUGUUUUAAAUUUCUUUUUAAGAUUACUUCAUGUUUCUUCACUUAACCUCAUGUAAGUAAGACUGUCUAAAAAUUUGAUUCCAUGAGUGGUACUCAGACAUUGGUCUUUGAAUGAAGCUUGCAAUAAUCUCCUGGUUAACUGAAAACACAAAUUGCAGUCUCACUUCAAAACUGAAUGAUGCAUACAUAUUACAUAUAUAAAGACUCUUUCUGGGGUUACUGGUUAUUGCCCUGCUUGUUACAGUCCCUUAUUGUGUUUAUAUAAUUCACAAAUUUCUCUUAUAAAAAUGUGGACCCUAGUGCUUCACAUAUGCUAUAUGUAUGCAUUGUUCAUUGUUUCAGCAUUUAGCGUCAUGUUGAAACUGGCAACAAAAAAUUAAAGAAGCAAAUUUGUUCAAGCUAUUACCCCAUAAUAUUUUUCUUUCUCUCUUUCUUCCACUUCUAUUGAAAAUGCCAAAUAUUUAAAAAAAACUCUUUGGUGCUUAAAACAAGAAACACUGUUUUUGUGGCUGUUCUAAAGCCUGAGCUGGAUUAUGUACAUUAAAUAAAAAUAAAAUUCAUCAAGAUUUUCUAGUUUGUAUGAGACUUUAUUGAGUUUCUGAAAUUUUUUCAAUUUUAUGCUCCAGACUUGUAGCAAGAACACUAAAUUAUUUAUGUAACUACACUUGAACCACUGAGACAUGAUCUGACACCAUUUUCCCUUUUUACUUAGAAAUAUAAUAAACACAAAAAGUGAAUUAAUAAAGGAAAUUUCACAGAAGUUAAUUCAUCGCAGACAGAACCAAUUACCACAAAAUAACCAAGACUGUAUGGCAGUGUAGAACAGCUAAAAAGUAAACAGCACAUUUUUUUCUAUGGGACAGGUUGUGGUGACUAAGUGGUAAAGCACUUGGCUUUCAAACUGAGGGGUCUCGAGUUUGAAUCCGAGUGAUGACUGGGUUUUUAAUUUCAGGAUUUUAAGGGCGCUCCUGAGUCCACAAAACUGUAAUGGGUACCUGGUAAUAGUUGGGGAAAUGUAAAGGCCAUUGGUCAUUGUGCUGGCCACAUGAUACCCUCAUUAACUGUGGGCCACAGAAACAGAUGACCUAUACAUCAUCUGUCUUAUAGAUCACAAGGUCUAAAUGAGGAAAAGUGGGCAGCUAAAGAGCUUAAAGGUCAGCAACAAAAAUGUGGCUAGAAGAAGAAUGAAUUAAAGCUCUCAAUUUAUAAGGUUACAUCUUGACAAGUUGAUUUUAUAAAGAAACAAUGUUGUAAUACAGAAAUAUAAGAUCACAAUAUAGUUUCUCAAUACAUUGAGCCUCUAAUAAGAAAGAAAUGUAACAAGCAAAAUAAAAAAAUAAACAAAGCUUAUAAAAUAGCUGCACAUUUACUGGCACUUAUCUCAAUACUGUUAGUUCUAUUUCACUUUUCACAUUCUUCUUCUUCUUCUAGCCAGCUUUAUUGCUGCUGAGCUGUGAGCUCUUUUGCAGACUGUGCCAAGGAAAAAAGUGUGCUGUUUUCUUCAGUUGUUCAGCACUGCCGUACAGGGUGUUGGUUAUGUUGGGCUGUAGUGGAAGUAGGAUCUGCCUAAGGUGGAUUAGGGAGGGGCAUUCAAAGAGGAUAUGGUUUACGGUUUCAAAGGGGUGGGCGCAGUGUCUGCAAAGGGGUAGUUGUGUGGAGUUUAUUUUGUUCAGGAAGGCACCAAGACCAGCAUUGAUGGUAGCUUUGAAAGCCGAUCCAUCUGUAUUGUAAUGAAAUGAUAACGACUAGAAUACCAAUAACAUGGCUUUAUUCAACAAAAUUAGACUACAGUAAACAGUGAAUGAAACCAGCAUGUCUAGCAUACCACUGAUGCAGUCUAUAUACACACACACACUGGACAUGAAACACAACAAUGGCCAUGACCUUCAGACACGCUGGACGCACGCAGAAAAUCAACUCAGUUACACUACAUGUAUAAAUAUGGAUAGCUGUUUUUUUGAUAGCUUUCGAUUGUUUCAAGCGUGCCUUCUUUGAGCUCCAGUGGAUUUGAUUCGUUUGUUAUUUAGUAAAUGUGUUUUGAUGGUUGGUUGUUUGUAGUUUAGUCCGGGUGUAAUGUUUUAAAACCUGGUAAUUUUUUCUCUGUUAUUGGGUAGGUGGUGUUUUAGGGCUAGUUCGUCAGUAAGUUGGAUCAGAGUCCUUUGCUUUUUUUUGGUUGUUUUUCCUAUAUUUCCUCCAACCUUCUGUAUCUCUCAAUAGCUUCUAAUGCUGCUCUGUUGCGCCUUAACUUAAGAGGUUCAAUAUUGGA